AACACCUCCAACAAUUGGUUGUGGGACCAUAAGCUAAUAUUUUUCAACUUGUAGAGAUUGACUUCAAGGUUUUCAACAACAGAGAUGUGGCCCAAGAAAUUAAAGAAGAAAGCAGUAUGCCAUAUUGCCAUCCAGUCUACUCUAGAUAAUUCAGGAGGAAUGAAAAAGCCACUAUAGAUAAGUACCACUGGCCCUCAAUGAGGAACCUAUUGAUGACCAGCAAGGUUAAGACUAGACCAGUGUGCAUUUUGAAAAAAAAAGGAGGGGGGGAUUGGAAGAGGGAAUGCUCAAACUGUUCCCAGAAAUGGAGUGUAGGUGACAAACCUGACUCUUAUCAGCUUUUCCUGGCAAAAGUUGAAGACUGACAGGGCCAAGGGGCUUCCCAGCUGGUUCAUUGCAAUACAAACCAGAUUUCUUCCAAGGAUCCCUUGGUUCCCUUUGAUAUAGCUAGAGAGGGAGUUGAGUUUCUGCUUGAUACUUAUGCAUAUACUCUGAAUUGACUACUAAAAAGAGGACUGUGCCCAGUAAAGAAUGUAAUAUAAGAGGAAAACAAAUGGUUUCUCAAGCCUAUGACCACAAAAGUGGGUUCAAAGGCUUUAAAGCACUCAUUUCUGUAUGUUUCUGAGUGCCCCAUUCCCCUUUUCAAAAGUGAACUGUUAAUCUAACUAGAGGCACUCUUUUAAUUUUCCACAGACAUAAAGGGAUUGCAUGGAUUGACAAGAGGCUGGCAGAGAAAAUUAAGACUGGAUGCUGAAGAGGAAGCAAAGGGAGAUUGGAAAACUAUAGGGAAAGAAAAUGUGGGAGAUGAGUUCUCUGAGGGUCACAUCCACAUUUAGAAUGAAAAGAGAGACAUUGGAGCUGGGCUGGCACAGGAAGGAGGUCUGUGGGACUCAAGCUAGAGUCGGGCAAUUGAUGAGAAGAAGACAGGAACCACCUCAGCAGUGAGAAAAGCUCCUGUGUCUGUGAUGGCUUCUGCAAAAUAAGGAUACCCGUAUGGAAAAGGAAAGAGAACAGGAUGGAAAUCGAUGCCUAUGUGAGGAGAGAGUCUUACAAUGUGUUUCCACAUUUGUGAAGGUAUUGUAGACGUGAUGUAGAAGGAUGCUGGAGACCCAGAUGGUCUCAACAGGUGGCAGAGAUAUCAUCUGGGAUUUCUCAAAUGCUUAGAAUACAAUGAAGAUUACAUAUUAUGGCAUGGAGACCUCAGUCAUUUGGUUAAAACUCUAACACGCAUCAGAGCCAAUCAUUUGAGAUGUUGUAUUUUAUGGAAGAUCCUCUCCACGAGGAUUCAGGUCUGGAAUACACCCUGCUGUGGAGGUUGAACUGGCAACAAAAAACAUAAUCAACAGGUAUAACUCCUUGGAUACUUUACACCAGAUUAAAAAGGGUCCAGAAAAAAGGCACAUUAGCCUGGAAAGGCCUGCUUCUGUGAACCAGGAAUCACUCUGAAACUGAAGAUCAAAUGGACAAGCAGAGCCAAGCAAUGACUGAUUUUUUUAGUUGUAGUCUUCUGUUUGAUAUAUUUACCUGCAUGAUGUUGAUCUUCUACAGAUGUUAAGCUCUUGUUUUACCAAAAGUUUGGAUCACAUUAAAUGCAAUUUUAUCAUAACUAA
This is a non-coding RNA of Ictidomys tridecemlineatus (thirteen-lined ground squirrel), 1610 nucleotides long. Lineage: Eukaryota; Metazoa; Chordata; Mammalia; Rodentia; Sciuridae. The record is from RefSeq and is a predicted model, not a curated record.